AGAGUGCGCUGACAGAACUUUGUCAGUAUACAGACUGAGGAAGUGGAGCUCCAUCCUUCAGAGAACUUCUGAACUCAAGUGAUUCCUGGAAACUGUUCCUCUGCUCAUGGUGGAACCUGAAGAGAGUCUAACCGGCAUCUGGACAAAGAUCUGAAGGAGAACAGCUACAGCUCUCCACUGAGUGUGAAGACGACCCUGAAGGACACAAUGCUGUCGUCGUUUAUGGAGAGGAAACGUUCUCAAUGUCGACCGGACAACAAAUCCUUCACAGUUCUGUGCAGGUUUUCCAGUUGCCUCUUUACGUGACUGAAGAUCCGGUCGGAGACUCUGAACCUCCAGAGACUGACGAGCCUUAAUGAGCUUCAUGUCACAACACCGAGUCUUUGAUGGACGAGGACGAUGACUGAAACCACCUGAACGUGGCAUUCUGACCUUCUGAUCUCCCUACCGAACACACUGAACUUGGUUUGCAGGAAUGAAGAGUUUAAAUCAGGGCAUUAAAGAAAUGUAGCAUCAUCAGAGUGAUGAUCUGGAGUCAGUGUCUGGUAGCAGGUAGAUCAGGACCAGGAUGGAAGAAGAAUGUAGAUGUUGUGUUUUAGCCAAGUUAUGAAUUAACUUCCAUGUAGCCUAAAGCAGUGGUGUAUACUCUUAAUUUUCACCUUUUUUUAUUAGUCCAGAAAAACGCCCUGUUUUAGAAACAGUGACAUAGAAGACUAUUCAAUUUAUUCAGUCAUUUCUACUUGCCCACUAUUAUAAAAUUAUCAUGACUUGAUUAGGAGCAGUUUGUAGUUAUUACUGGAUUUAUGUAACAUGUAUUUAUCAUGAGGCAAACAUGGUGUUUCAGUUACUUUUGAACAUUUAUUUAAAUAAAAUACUUCAAAUAUGAAGCUGACAGUGCAUCCUUGUUCAUAUUUCAUCAUGAAUAAAACCUCAAUAUUGUUUUAGGUCGAAUCUUAAA
Long non-coding RNA from Acanthochromis polyacanthus (spiny chromis), 958 nucleotides. RefSeq lists it as uncharacterized. Lineage: Eukaryota; Metazoa; Chordata; Actinopteri; Pomacentridae. The transcript has 4 exons. The record is from RefSeq and is a predicted model, not a curated record.